GACGAACGCUGGCGGCGUGCUUAACACAUGCAAGUCGAACGGAAGGGCCCUGCUUUUGUGGUGUGCUCGAGUGGCGAACGGGUGAGUAACACGUGAGUAACCCGCCUUUGAUUUUGGGAUAACUUCAGGAAACUGGGGCUUAUACCGGAUUCGAUUUUCUGCUGCAUGGUGGGGGUUGGAAAGUUUCGGCGGUUGGGGAUGGACCCGCGGCUUAUCAGCUUGUUGGUGGGGUAGUGGCUUACCAAGGCUUUGACGGGUAGCCGGCCUGAGAGGGUGACCGGCCACAUUGGGACUGAGAUACGGCCCAGACUCCUACGGGAGGCAGCAGUGGGGAAUAUUGCACAAUGGGCGGAAGCCUGAUGCAGCAACGCCGCGUGCGGGAUGACGGCCUUCGGGUUGUAAACCGCUUUCGCCUGUGACGAAGCGUGAGUGACGGUAGUGGGUAAAGAAGCACCGGCUAACUACGUG
RNAcentral lists this ribosomal RNA (468 nucleotides) under uncultured bacterium. RNAcentral describes it as "partial 16S ribosomal RNA". It matches the Rfam family "Bacterial small subunit ribosomal RNA", at positions 28 to 507 of the family's 1533-position model. The record is from RNAcentral.